Apteryx owenii (little spotted kiwi) is the source of this 1337-nucleotide long non-coding RNA. The record is from Ensembl. NCBI's taxonomy places the organism in Eukaryota, Metazoa, Chordata, Aves, Apterygiformes, Apterygidae.
CCAGCCCAGGGCAGCCUUGUCGGGUGCAACCCCGGCAGCGAAGACUCAAUGGGGUGGCGAUGGGGACCGGGGCUCUGGGAGAAGAUGCCUGGAGCAUCCAUCAAUCCUGAACAGCACCAGCCACGGGGUCAAGCUGGGAAAACCCUGCCCCGGUGCCCAGGCACCCUCGCCUCCUCGCCCUGGGAAUACGGCUGGGGCAGCAUCCCGCUGUCGGGGCUGCAGGGCACGAGGCUGAGCACGGAAAUCGGACAGGCAAGAGCCAGGGAAGAAGCAGGAGCAGCGGCACCUGGGCGAUGCACGCUGCCUGCAGGCACAGCCGUUCCCUGCCCACCGGCCGCCAUCUGACAGCGAAACCUGCCCGCCAGGGAAGCGUUAUCCAGGGGAGAGAGGUCGGAGCAGAUGCUGCGGAGCAGAGACCGGCUGGGAGCGAUGUGUCCCGGGAUUAGCACUAAGCCAUCUGGCACGCACUCGCAAACGCUGCCUCGCGGCCCCGGCCCAGCCACGGAGCCGUCUGGAAGCAGGUCGCAGCUGUGGACCAUCAUCAUCCCGACCGUGGAGCUGAGCCCAGGGGACCUGCAGAUCUCAGCAGCAUCAGCCGCUGGGCCGGGGUGGUCUCCUGGGGUAAAACGUCUCCAAGGUAAAAGGAAUUUGGGGAAGGGGUGAUAGGAGACAUGGGGCAGAUGCUCAUGGGGGAAGGAUGGGGUCUCUGGGGAGGAAGGUGAGGAGCUCUGCUUUGAAAGGUGGCAGAAACGCUGCAGCUGUGGGGAAGGUGCAAGUUUGAAGGUGGGAUGGGGGGUUAAAGACUGUGAGGAGACAGGAAGGGGCAACCAGAGGCGAGAAAACACCAUAUGCCCUGAUCCAGAGGAGCCGAGCCUUGCCCAGCACCGCCGUGUUAGCUGCAGGCUUCCUCCUUGCAGGCCAGCACCUCGCACAAGGUCUCUCCCCGGCAUCUCGGCCAAGCCGUGGCAGCCUCCGCGAGCCCGAGGAACGCGUCGCCUGGCUCAGGGACCCGCGGCCACUCACCUGGGGUAGCCUAGCUCGCCCGCAUGGCGCCAGGCUGGCUCGGCACCGCCCGCAGCCCCCGGCUUUGUCGGCGUCACGCUCUCGGCCUCGCUGUCCUCCGGGGACCGUCGCUCCCCCAGCGCCCACAGGACCACGUUUGCUGCACGGCAGCUGCCGGCUGCUGCCGCCCGAUGCAUAUUUGAUGACUGCUAUUAUUCUCGUCUCCACUCACAAGCGGAGAGACGGGAGCUAAUCGUCCCCGUGCAGAGCCAGGGAAUACCAGGGAUGGAGCGGCUGGAGGGGCGAGGGGCAGCCAGCUCUGGCCCGGUCCCUUC